This 72-nucleotide transfer RNA is filed under the name Marmota monax (woodchuck). Its description in RNAcentral is "tRNA.Ser". The record is from RNAcentral. Lineage: Eukaryota; Metazoa; Chordata; Mammalia; Rodentia; Sciuridae.
AGUAGUGUUGCUCAGUGGUAGGGUGUUUGCCUAGAAUGCAGGAGGCUCUGGAUACCAUCUACAGCAUCACAA